GGUCCCUUGGCUCAGUAGGAUAGAGCAACUGCCUCCUAAGCAGUAGGUCCUCGGUUCGAUUCCGAGAGGGAUCA
This is a transfer RNA of Lactobacillus sp., 74 nucleotides long. It matches the Rfam family "tRNA". From Rfam's summary of the family: Transfer RNA (tRNA) molecules are approximately 80 nucleotides in length. Their secondary structure includes four short double-helical elements and three loops (D, anti-codon, and T loops). The record is from Rfam. NCBI's taxonomy places the organism in Bacteria, Bacillati, Bacillota, Bacilli, Lactobacillales, Lactobacillaceae.